UCGGGGUCCGAUUCAGCCAUGCUAGUUGUACGGGUUUAGACCCGUAGCAAAUAGCUCCGUAACACGUGGUCAAACUACCCUCUGGACCGGGAUACCCUCGGGAAACUGAGGUCAAUCCCGGAUACUGCUUUCAUGUUGGAACACAGAAAGUCGGAAACGGUCCGCCGCCGGAGGACGUGACUGCGGCCGAUUAGGUAGACGGUGGGGUAACGGCCCACCGUGCCGAUAAUCGGUACGGGUUGUGAGAGCAAGAACCCGGAGACGGUAUCUGAGACAAGAUACCGGGCCCUACGGGGCGCAGCAGGCGCGAAACCUUUACACUGCACGCCAGUGCGAUAAGGGGACCCCGAGUGCGAGGGCAUACAGUCCUCGCUUUUCGUGACCGUAAGAAGGUCUCAGAAUAAGAGCUGGGCAAGACCGGUGCCAGCCGCCGCGGUAAUACCGGCAGCUCGAGUGAUAGCCACUAUUAUUGGGCCUAAAGCGUCCGUAGCCGGCCGAACAGGUCCGUCGGGAAAUCCACCCGCUCAACGGGUGGACGUCCGGCGGAAACCAGUCGGCUUGGGGCCGGGAGACCAGAGAGGUACGUCCGGGGUAGGAGUGAAAUCCUGUAAUCCUGGACGGACCGCCGGUAGCGAAAGCGUCUCUGGAGAACGGACCCGACGGUGAGGGACGAAAGCUUGGGUCUCGAACCGGAUUAGAUACCCGGGUAGUCCAAGCUGUAAACGAUGCUCGCUAGGUGUGGCGUUGGCUACGAGCCAGCGCUGUGCUGUAGGGAAGCCGAGAAGCGAGCCGCCUGGGAAGUACGUCCGCAAGGAUGAAACUUAAAGGAAUUGGCGGGGGAGCACUACAACCGGAGGAGCCUGCGGUUUAAUUGGACUCAACGCCGGACAUCUCACCGGCACCGACAGUGUGCAGUGACAGUCAGUCUGAUGG
Molecule: ribosomal RNA, 933 nt
Filed under: uncultured Halococcus sp.
Lineage: Archaea; Methanobacteriati; Methanobacteriota; Halobacteria; Halobacteriales; Halococcaceae
Description: bacterial SSU rRNA
Rfam family: Archaeal small subunit ribosomal RNA
Source: RNAcentral